Molecule: non-coding RNA, 87 nt
Filed under: Ruegeria sp. TrichCH4B
Lineage: Bacteria; Pseudomonadati; Pseudomonadota; Alphaproteobacteria; Rhodobacterales; Roseobacteraceae
Description: chrB RNA
Rfam family: chrB-a RNA
Source: RNAcentral
GCUCAGGGGUGCGCAAGAACCUCGUGAGGCGCCAGCCCAAUCUUGCAUCCUUCCAAUUCCCUUACUUUCCGAGGAGGAUGCUUCAUG